CAGUAGCCACGGUAAUUCGGAGGGUGCAAGCGUUAAUCGGAAUUACUGGGCGUAAAGCGCACGCAGGCGGUCUGACAAGUCAGAUGUGAAAUCCCCGGGCUUAACCUGGGAACUGCAUUUGAAACUGUCAGGCUGGAGUCUUGUAGAGGGGGGUGGAAUUCCAGGUGUAGCGGUGAAAUGCGUAGAGAUCUGGAGGAAUACCGGUGGCGAAGGCGGCCCCCUGGACAAAGACUGACGCUCAGGUGCGAAAGCGUGGGGAGCAAACAGGAUUAGAUACCCGCGUAGUCCCUGUCUCUUAUAC
Molecule: ribosomal RNA, 301 nt
Filed under: uncultured bacterium
Lineage: Bacteria
Description: partial 16S ribosomal RNA
Rfam family: Bacterial small subunit ribosomal RNA
Source: RNAcentral